GAUGAACGCUGGCGGCGCGCCUAACACAUGCAAGUCGAACGGUAAGAGCACCUUCGCGUGGUUAUAAAGUGGCGAACGGGUGAGUAACACGUGGGCAACCUGCCCCGUUCAUUGGGAUAGGCACGGGAAACCGGGUAUAAUACCGAAUACUUCGAAACUUCCGCGUGGUAGACGCGAGGAAUCUCCGGCGGAGGGGGAUGGAGCCGCGUCUUGGUAGUUUGUUGGGGGGGUGGCGGCCUACCACGGCAAUGGUGGGUAGCUGGGUUGAGGUGUCGACCAGCAAGAUUGGGACUGAGAAAGGGCCAAGCCUCCUACGGGAGGCAGCAGUGGGGAAUUUGGACAAAGGGGGCAAAGCCUGAUGAAGCGACGCCGCGUGGGGGAUGAAGGCCUUCGGGUUUAAAACCGUUUCCCGCAGGGACGAGGCGAAAGUGACGGUACCUGCAGAAGAAGCACCGGCUAACUACGUG
Molecule: ribosomal RNA, 467 nt
Filed under: uncultured bacterium
Lineage: Bacteria
Description: partial 16S ribosomal RNA
Rfam family: Bacterial small subunit ribosomal RNA
Source: RNAcentral